AAACUUUCAACAACGGAUCUCUUGGUUCUGGCAUCGAUGAAGAACGCAGCGAAAUGCGAUAAGUAAUGUGAAUUGCAGAAUUCAGUGAAUCAUCGAAUCUUUGAACGCACAUUGCGCCCUCUGGUAUUCCGGAGGGCAUGCCUGUUCGAGCGUCAUUACAACCCUCAAG
This 169-nucleotide ribosomal RNA is filed under the name Leptostroma decipiens. RNAcentral describes it as "5.8S ribosomal RNA". It matches the Rfam family "5.8S ribosomal RNA". Rfam says of the family: 5.8S ribosomal RNA (5.8S rRNA) is a component of the large subunit of the eukaryotic ribosome. It is transcribed by RNA polymerase I as part of the 45S precursor that also contains 18S and 28S rRNA. The record is from RNAcentral. RNAcentral also lists the same sequence under 1 other name. Lineage: Eukaryota; Fungi; Ascomycota; Leotiomycetes; Rhytismatales; Rhytismataceae.